Molecule: ribosomal RNA, 484 nt
Filed under: uncultured bacterium
Lineage: Bacteria
Description: partial 16S ribosomal RNA
Rfam family: Bacterial small subunit ribosomal RNA
Source: RNAcentral
AUUGAACGCUGGCGGCAGGCCUAACACAUGCCAGUCGAGCGGAUGAAGGGAGAUUGCUCCUGGCUUCAGCGGCGGACGGGUGAGUAAUGCCUAGGAAUCUGCCUGGUAGUGGGGGAUAACGUCCGGAAACGGGCGCCAAUACCGCAUACGUCCUGAGGGAGAAAGUGGGGGAUCUUCGGACCUCACGCUAUCAGAUGAGCCUAGGUCGGAUUAGCUAGUUGGUGGGGUAAAGGCCUACCAAGGCGACGAUCCGUAACUGGUCUGAGAGGAUGAUCAGCCACACUGGAACUGAGACACGGUCCAGACUCCUACGGGGGGCAGCAGUGGGGAAUAUUGGACAAUGGGCGAAAGCCUGAUCCAGCCAUGCCGCGUGUGUGAAGAAGGUCUUCGGAUUGUAAAGCACUUUAAGUUGGGAGGAAGGGCAGUAAGUUAAUACCUUGCUGUUUUGACGUUACCAACAGAAUAAGCACCGGCUAACUUCGUG